AGCGAACGCUGGCGGCAGGCCUAACACAUGCAAGUCGAACGGAUCCUUCGGGAUUAGUGGCAGACGGGUGAGUAACACGUGGGAACGUACCCUUCGGUUCGGGAUAACUCAGGGAAACUUGAGCUAAUACCGGAUACGUCCGAGAGGAGAAAGAUUUAUCGCCGAGGGAUCGGCCCGCGUCUGAUUAGCUUGUUGGUGAGGUAACGGCUCACCAAGGCGACGAUCAGUAGCUGGCUGAGAGGAUGAUCAGCCACAUUGGGACUGAGACACGGCCCAAACUCCUACGGGAGGCAGCAGUGGGGAAUAUUGGACAAUGGGCGCGAGCCUGAUCCAGCCAUGCCGCGUGAGUGAUGAAGGCCCUAGGGUUGUAAAGCUCUUUUACCCGGGAAGAUAAUGACUGUACCGGGAGAAUAAGCCCCGGCUAACUUCGUGCCAGCCG
RNAcentral lists this ribosomal RNA (439 nucleotides) under uncultured bacterium. RNAcentral's name for it is "bacterial SSU rRNA". It matches the Rfam family "Bacterial small subunit ribosomal RNA", at positions 29 to 514 of the family's 1533-position model. The record is from RNAcentral.